CAGCCGCCGCGGUAAUACGUAGGUCCCGAGCGUUGUCCGGAUUUAUUGGGCGUAAAGGGAGCGCAGGCGGUUUAGUAAGUCUGAAGUUAAAGGCAUUGGCUCAACCAAUGUAUGCUUUGGAAACUGUUAGACUUGAGUGCAGAAGGGGAGAGUGGAAUUCCACGUGUAGCGGUGAAAUGCGUAGAGAUGUGGAGGAACACCAGUGGCGAAGGCGACUCUCUGGUCUGUAACUGACGCUGAGGCUCGAAAGCGUGGGGAGCAAACAGGAUUAGAUACCCCUGUAGUCCCUGUCUCUUAUACA
This 301-nucleotide ribosomal RNA is filed under the name uncultured bacterium. RNAcentral describes it as "partial 16S ribosomal RNA". It matches the Rfam family "Bacterial small subunit ribosomal RNA", at positions 509 to 808 of the family's 1533-position model. The record is from RNAcentral.